This 1233-nucleotide ribosomal RNA is filed under the name Triticum aestivum (bread wheat). RNAcentral describes it as "partial small subunit ribosomal RNA". The record is from RNAcentral. Lineage: Eukaryota; Viridiplantae; Streptophyta; Magnoliopsida; Poales; Poaceae.
AUGAUGAUGAUGGGCGGUCGCGCGGGGGCCGGCGGCGUCGGGGCCGGCGGGGGCCGGUGCCCGUUCACGGCGACGCAGUGGCAGGAGCUGGAGCACCAGGCGCUCAUCUACAAGUACAUGGCCUCCGGCGUGCCCAUCCCCUCCGACCUCCUCCUCCCGCUCCGCCGCAGCUUCCUCCUCGACUCCGCCCUCGCCACCUCCCCCUCCCUCGCCUUCCCUCCCCAGGCCGCACUGGGCUGGGGAUGUUUCGGGAUGGGGUUCGGCCGGAAGGCGGAGGACCCGGAGCCGGGGCGGUGCCGGCGGACUGACGGCAAGAAGUGGCGCUGCUCCAAGGAGGCGUACCCGGACUCCAAGUACUGCGAGAAGCACAUGCACCGCGGCAAGAACCGUUCAAGAAAGCCUGUGGAAAUGUCCUUGGCCACGCCCCCGCCGCCGCCUUCCUCCUCGGCCUCCUCCUCCUCCUCCAACGUCCACUCCGCCGUCAACGCCGCCACCACCACCACCUCCCCCGCGCCGUCCUACCACCGCCACGCCGCCGCGACUCACGACACGACGCCCUACCACACGCUCUACGGCGGCCCCUACUCCUCCGCCGGCCGCCAGCAGCACGCCAGCGCCUACCACCACGCCGCGCAGGUCAGCCCGUUCCACCUGCACCUCGACACCACCCACCCGCACCCGCCGCCGUCCUACUACUCCACCAUGGACCACAGCAAGGACAGCUACGCCUACGGGCACAGCGUCAAGGAGGUGCACGGCGGCGGCGAGCACGCCUUCUUCUCCUCCGACGUCACCACUGACAGGGACCACCACCACCACCAACACCACGCCGGCGCCGGCGGCAACGGGCAGUGGCAGUUCAAGCAGCUCGGCGGCAUGGAGCCCAAGCAGCACAACCCCACGUCGCUCUUCCCCGGCUGCGGCGGGUACGGCAACAACGCGGCGUACGCCAUCGACCUGUCCAGCAAAGAAGAGGACGAGGAGAAGGAGAGGCGGCAGCAGCAGCAGCACUGCUUCCUGCUGGGCGCCGACCUGAGGCUCGACAAGCCGUCGUCGGGGCACGGCGACUCCGCCGACCAGAAGCCUCUCCGGCCCUUCUUCGACGAGUGGCCGCACGAGAAGACCGGGAGCAAGGGGUCGUGGAUGGGGCUCGAGGGGGAGACGCAGCUCUCCAUCUCCAUCGCCAACGAACUCCCCAUCACCACCACCUCCCGCUACCACCAUGGUGAAUGA